GGUUUGGAGCAGCUGGUACUUAUCGAUGCAUACAGCUAACUCAUCAACUCGCUUCUCAGUCUGCUGUCGAUCCUCAGUAACCUACCUCUGCAUCUCCGCCAGUCGAAUAUCACAAGUAGUAUGGAUGUUAGCUCUGGAUGAGCAUGAGGAUGAGGGAGCACUGAUCCCAUGCCCUAGACCCCUAAUAUAACAGGAUCUCAUACCAAGCACUUGAUCACAGAUCUUGUCAUCUGUGGGUGCAGUUGAGCCCUCAGAGAUAGGCUGG
This 265-nucleotide long non-coding RNA is filed under the name Elaeis guineensis (African oil palm). RNAcentral describes it as "long non-coding RNA (EGUI_LNC020238)". The record is from RNAcentral. Lineage: Eukaryota; Viridiplantae; Streptophyta; Magnoliopsida; Arecales; Arecaceae.